CACUUUGAGACUGUGACAGGACACAACAGUCAACAGCGCGCGUGUGUAUAUGGAAAACAUCUCAAAUAGACACCUUUUGCUUUAAGUUUAUCCGGCGCUGUGUCUUGUGAUGGAGCCCAGAGGGCAAGGCUGGCAUACGCCAGGCUAUCAGUACCAGUCUAGUAACAGAGAUGACAACUACAGAUCCUCCCACCAAACACCAUAUUACCACCCACCUACAGACCCGAGAGGGAGAGAAAGACAGUGGCCUCAUGUGGAUCCUCGCUAUGGAAGCUACAUGGCCAGUCCUCCUCCUAAACCAGAGUAUAUUCCUGGAUAUAGUAGUGCUUAUGCAUCUAACCAACCAUUACACUUCAGACCUCAUUCCAGGCAGGAAUAUGACUACCCCGCAUCCAACUACUGGCCCUACAGAGAAGACUACGGGUCCUACAGAGAAGACUACGGGUAUUAUGAUUAUCAUGGUUAUCACAGAUCACAAUACAGCUCCCCAGAUGGUGGUGGCUGGAGAACAGAGGGGUAUCAGGGCAGAGGACUGCAGCAGGAGUCAGCAAGAGCUUCGUACUUCGAUCAGCAGGGCUAUAGCCAUAGAACAGACAGUCAAUAUGACCAUGGAGUCUCAGAGAGACAGCACAGAGAAAGUGUGGAAAAUGGAGAUGGAACUGGAGAGGUGUAUGAUAGUGGAGCUCUUGCCAACUCUAAAGCUUCUGGUCUGUCCUCGAGCAGCUAUGAGCUCAGCCAGUACAUCGGUGGUGCUGAACUGAGUGAGCCUGAGCUCAUAUCUCACACAGAUGCUGUACCCAUGGAGGUGGCUCCCCUGAAGUUCUGCAUCCCUCAUGUGGCAGUGAGUUUUGGGCCUUCAGGUCAGCUGGUGUGGGUCAGUCCAGCUCUUGCUUCUGAGGGUGAGCCUGCUCAAGUGGAACUCCACAGUCUGGAGGUAAUUCUCUGUGACACACAUGAACAGCAGGAUAUGAGAGAUUUUCCUGGACCACUGGCUAAGGAGGAUUUGCAUAAGGUGGAUGCCAUUAAUUUUGCCCUCCAAAUGUCAGAGAAAUGUCUGAAAGAUGAGAAAUUAGAAGAUGCCACUUCUGCUGCCCUCUUGUGGCAUCUACUAAUCUUGCUGUGCAGACAGAAUGGAAGAAUCAUGGGUUCAGAUGUUGCAGAACUGCUGAUGAGGGACUCCAGUUCUCUGGGUGCGUGUGGGGUCUCUGAUGAUGGAGAUGGAGAAACUCUUAUUGAUCUGAGUGAAACACCCACAUCAGAAAAAGAGACCCUCAACUUUGCCGACCUCCUGACUGGAUAUCCACCAACUGACAAAGAGGCUGCAAAGCAAAACCUUCAGAGAUACACAAAACUAUUGCUGUCUGGCAGAAAGAAGGAGGCGCUAGAGUCAGCCAUGCAGAGUGGUCUUUGGGGUCAUGCUUUAUUUCUGGCUAGCAAAAUGGACAGCAGAUCCUACAACACAGUGCUGAGCAGGUUUACAGGGAGUCUGGCUUCUAGUGACCCUCUGCAAACCCUCUUCCAGCUGCUCUCUGGGAGGAUUCCAGCUUCCUGGAGUAGUGAGAAGUGGGGAGACUGGCGACCACACUUGGCUGUUUUGCUGUCCAAUGAGACAGGAGACCCCUUUAUACAUCACAGGUCCAUCAUCACCAUGGGUGAUACUCUAGCCUCAAGGGAUAUGCUGUAUGCCUCCCAGAUCUGCUACCUCACGGCUCAAUGUCCCUUUGGCUGGUACACAAACAGAUCAGAGCGCCUUGUGCUUCUGGGCAGCAAGCAAAGAUCAUAUGAUUGUUUCACAUUUGUUUUUUUGCUGUAUUACUAUGGUUCAGUCUGUUUAUCUAUUGCAUAG
This is a long non-coding RNA of Cyprinus carpio carpio, 1846 nucleotides long. The record is from Ensembl. Lineage: Eukaryota; Metazoa; Chordata; Actinopteri; Cypriniformes; Cyprinidae.